UACAGAGGUCCCAAGCGUUGUUCGGAUUCAUUGGGCGUAAAGGGUGCGUAGGUGGCGCCGUAAGUCAGGUGUGAAAUUUCGGAGCUUAACUCCGAAACUGCAUUUGAUACUGCGGUGCUUUGAGGACUGGAGAGGAGACUGGAAUUUACGGUGUAGCAGUGAAAUGCGUAGAGAUCGUAAGGAAGACCAGUGGCGAAGGCGGGUCUCUGGACAGUUCCUGACACUGAGGCACGAAGGCCAGGGGGAGCAAACAGG
RNAcentral lists this ribosomal RNA (255 nucleotides) under uncultured bacterium. Its description in RNAcentral is "partial 16S ribosomal RNA". It matches the Rfam family "Bacterial small subunit ribosomal RNA", at positions 524 to 776 of the family's 1533-position model. The record is from RNAcentral.